UCUGGCGACCGGCGCACGGGUGAGUAACACGUAUCCAACCUGCCCUUUACUCGGGGAUAGCCUUUCGAAAGAAAGAUUAAUACCCGAUGGCAUAAUGAUUCCGCAUGGUUUGAUUAUUAAAGGAUUCCGGUAAAGGAUGGGGAUGCGUUCCAUUAGGUUGUUGGUGAGGUAACGGCUCACCAAGCCUUCGAUGGAUAGGGGUUCUGAGAGGAAGGUCCCCCACAUUGGAACUGAGACACGGUCCAA
RNAcentral lists this ribosomal RNA (246 nucleotides) under uncultured bacterium. Its description in RNAcentral is "partial 16S ribosomal RNA". It matches the Rfam family "Bacterial small subunit ribosomal RNA", at positions 87 to 334 of the family's 1533-position model. The record is from RNAcentral.